GAUGAACGCUAGCGGCAGGCCUAAUACAUGCAAGUCGGACAGGAUUGGAGAGCUUGCUUUCCAUGAGAGUGGCGCACGGGUGCGUAACACGUAUGUAACCUACCUUGUUCAGGGGGAUAGCCUCUCGAAAGAGAGAUUAAGACCGCAUAACAUUGCGAUGUGGCAUCACAUUGUAAUCAAAUAUUUAUAGGAACAAGAUGGGCAUGCGGAACAUUAGCUAGUUGGGAAGGUAACGGCUUACCAAGGCUACGAUGUUUAGGGGAUCUGAGAGGAUGACCCCCCACACUGGUACUGAGACACGGACCAGACUCCUACGGGAGGCAGCAGUAAGGAAUAUUGGUCAAUGGGCGGAAGCCUGAACCAGCCAUGCCGCGUGCAGGAAGACGGCCCUAUGGGUUGUAAACUGCUUUUGCAGGGGAAUAAACCUUGGUACGUGUACCAAGCUGAAUGUACUCUGAGAAUAAGGAUCGGCUAACUCCGUGCCAGCCGCCGCGGUAA
This 498-nucleotide ribosomal RNA is filed under the name uncultured bacterium. Its description in RNAcentral is "partial 16S ribosomal RNA". It matches the Rfam family "Bacterial small subunit ribosomal RNA", at positions 28 to 523 of the family's 1533-position model. The record is from RNAcentral.